This 540-nucleotide ribosomal RNA is filed under the name uncultured bacterium. RNAcentral's name for it is "partial 16S ribosomal RNA". It matches the Rfam family "Bacterial small subunit ribosomal RNA", at positions 355 to 887 of the family's 1533-position model. The record is from RNAcentral.
UGGGGAAUAUUGCACAAUGGGCGCAAGCCUGAUGCAGCCAUGCCGCGUGUGUGAAGAAGGCCUUCGGGUUGUAAAGCACUUUCAGCGAGGAGGAAGGUGGUGAACUUAAUACGUUCAUCAAUUGACGUUACUCGCAGAAGAAGCACCGGCUAACUCCGUGCCAGCAGCCGCGGUAAUACGGAGGGUGCAAGCGUUAAUCGGAAUUACUGGGCGUAAAGCGCACGCAGGCGGUUUGUUAAGUCAGAUGUGAAAUCCCCGGGCUCAACCUGGGAACUGCAUUUGAAACUGGCAAGCUAGAGUCUCGUAGAGGGGGGUAGAAUUCCAGGUGUAGCGGUGAAAUGCGUAGAGAUCUGGAGGAAUACCGGUGGCGAAGGCGGCCCCCUGGACGAAGACUGACGCUCAGGUGCGAAAGCGUGGGGAGCAAACAGAUUAGNUACCCUGGUAGUCACGCUGUAAACGAUGUUGAUUUUGGAGGUUGUGCCCCUUGAGGCGUGGNUUCCGGAGCUAACGCGUUAAAUCGACCGCCUGGGGAGUACGGCC